Molecule: small RNA, 97 nt
Filed under: Propithecus coquereli (Coquerel's sifaka)
Lineage: Eukaryota; Metazoa; Chordata; Mammalia; Primates; Indriidae
Description: Y RNA (ENSPCOG00000001702.1)
Rfam family: Y RNA
About the family: Y RNAs are components of the Ro ribonucleoprotein particle (Ro RNP), in association with Ro60 and La proteins. The Y RNAs and Ro60 and La proteins are well conserved, but the function of the Ro RNP is not known.
Source: RNAcentral
GAUUGGAAAUUAUGAGGCAUAACACUAAUUGAUCACAACCAGUUACAGAUUCCUUUGUUCCUUCUCCACUCCCACUGCUUCACUUGACUAGCCUAAA